AUUGAACGCUGGCGGCAGGCCUAACACAUGCAAGUCGAACGGUAACAGGAAGAAGAUUGCUUCUUUGCUGACGAGUGGCGGACGGGUGAGUAAUGUCUGGGAAACUGCCUGAUGGAGGGGGAUAACUACUGGAAACGGUAGCUAAUACCGCAUAACGUCGCAAGACCAAAGAGGGGGACCUUCGGGCCUCUUGCCAUCGGAUGUGCCCAGAUGGGAUUAGCAUGUAGGUGGGGUAACGGCUCACCUAGGCGACGAUCCCUAGCUGGUCUGAGAGGAUGACCAGCUACACUAGAACUGCGACACGGUCGCGACUCCUACGGGAGGCAGCAGUGGGGAAUAUUGCACAAUGGGAGGCAGCCUGAUGCAGCCAUGCCGCGUGUAUGAAGAAGGCCUUCGGUUUGUAAAGUACUUUCAGCGGGGAGGAAGGGAGUAAAGUUAAUACCUUUCCUCAUUGACGUUACCCGCAGAAGAAGCACGGGCUAACUCCGUG
Molecule: ribosomal RNA, 490 nt
Filed under: uncultured bacterium
Lineage: Bacteria
Description: partial 16S ribosomal RNA
Rfam family: Bacterial small subunit ribosomal RNA
Source: RNAcentral